GAUGAACGCUGGCGGCGUGCCUAAUACAUGCAAGUCGAGCGAACAGACGAGGAGCUUGCUCCUCUGACGUUAGCGGCGGACGGGUGAGUAACACGUGGAUAACCUACCUAUAAGACUGGGAUAACUUCGGGAAACCGGAGCUAAUACCGGAUAAUAUAUUGAACCGCAUGGUUCAAUAGUGAAAGACGGUUUUGCUGUCACUUAUAGAUUGAUCCGCGCCGCAUUAGCUAGUUGGUAAGGGAACGGCUUACCAAGGCAACGAUGCGUAGCCGACCUGAGAGGGUGAGCAGCCACACUGGAACUGAGACACGGUCCAGAGUCCUACGGGAGGCAGCAGUAGGGAAUAUUCCGCAAUGGGCGAAAGCCUGACGGAGCAACGCCGCGUGAGUGAUGAAGGUCUUCGGAUCGUAAAACUCUGUUAUGAGGGAAGAACAAAUGUGUAAGUAACUAUGCACGUCUUGACGGUACCUAAUCAGAAAGCCACGGCUAACUACGUG
This 497-nucleotide ribosomal RNA is filed under the name uncultured bacterium. Its description in RNAcentral is "partial 16S ribosomal RNA". It matches the Rfam family "Bacterial small subunit ribosomal RNA", at positions 28 to 507 of the family's 1533-position model. The record is from RNAcentral.